UCUUGGUCAUUUAGAGGAAGUAAAAGUCGUAACAAGGUUUCCGUAGGUGAACCUGCGGAAGGAUCAUUAUCGUAAUCAAAAUGUGUUGAGGCAUGCAACGGCUGUCGCUGACCAAAAGUCGUGCACGCCAGGGUGUGUCCUCUCACAUAAAAUCCAUCUCACCCUUUUGUGCACCACCGCGUGGGCACCCUUCGGGGUCGAACAGAUCCAGGAGGGGGCUUGCGUUUUCACACAAACCCCUUUUUAAAAGUGUAGAAUGACCCCACUUUUGCGAUAACACGCAAUCAAUACAACUUUCAACAACGGAUCUCUUGGCUCUCGCAUCGAUGAAGAACGCAGCGAAAUGCGAUACGUAAUGUGAAUUGCAGAAUUCAGUGAAUCAUCGAAUCUUUGAACGCACCUUGCGCCCCUUGGUAUUCCGAGGGGCACACCCGUUUGAGUGUCGUGAAAAUCUCAACCUUCUCGGUUUCUUCUGAACACCGAAGGAGGCUUGGACUUUGGAGGCCUUUGCUGGUGUCUCUCACCAGCUCCUCUCAAAUGAAUUAGCGGGGUCCUCUUUGCCGAUCCUCGACAUGUGAUAAGAUGUUUCCAUGUCUUGGCUUUAUGGCUCUGUUGCCUUUGGGACCCGCUUCUAACCGUCUCGGCGAGACAACGUUCGAGCGUGUCUCCCCUCUCGGGGAAACACUCUUGAACCCACGAAACCUUGACCUCAAAUCGGGUGAGACUACCCGCUGAACUUAAGCAUAUCAAUAAGCGGAGGAAAAGAAACUAACAAGGAUUCCCCUAGUAACUGCGAGUGAAGCGGGAAAAGCUCAAAUUUAAAAUCUGGCGGCCUUUGGCCGCCCGAGUUGUAAUUUAGAGAAGCGUCUUCCGCGCCAGUCCGUGCACAAGUCUCCUGGAAUGGAGCGUCAUAGAGGNNGAGAAAUCCANU
RNAcentral lists this ribosomal RNA (931 nucleotides) under Lactarius glyciosmus. RNAcentral describes it as "eukaryotic LSU rRNA". The stretch from base 705 to 931 matches the Rfam family "Eukaryotic large subunit ribosomal RNA", at positions 1 to 225 of the family's 3401-position model. The record is from RNAcentral. Lineage: Eukaryota; Fungi; Basidiomycota; Agaricomycetes; Russulales; Russulaceae.